RNAcentral lists this ribosomal RNA (735 nucleotides) under uncultured bacterium. RNAcentral describes it as "bacterial SSU rRNA". It matches the Rfam family "Bacterial small subunit ribosomal RNA", at positions 28 to 776 of the family's 1533-position model. The record is from RNAcentral.
GACGAACGCUGGCGCCGUUCCUAACACAUGCAAGUCGAACGAGCGAGAGAGAGCUUGCUUUCUCGAGCGAGUGGCGAACGGGUGAGUAACGCGUGAGGAACCUGCCUCAAAGAGGGGGACAACAGUUGGAAACGACUGCUAAUACCGCAUAAGCCCACAGGUCGGCAUCGACCAGAGGGAAAAGGAGCAAUCCGCUUUGAGAUGGCCUCGCGUCCGAUUAGCUAGUUGGUGAGGUAACGGCCCACCAAGGCGACGAUCGGUAGCCGGACUGAGAGGUCGAACGGCCACAUUGGGACUGAGACACGGCCCAGACUCCUACGGGAGGCAGCAGUGGGGAAUAUUGCACAAUGGGGGAAACCCUGAUGCAGCGACGCCGCGUGGAGGAAGAAGGUCUUCGGAUUGUAAACUCCUGUUGUUGAGGAAGAUAAUGACGGUACUCAACAAGGAAGUGACGGCUAACUACGUGCCAGCAGCCGCGGUAAAACGUAGGUCACAAGCGUUGUCCGGAAUUACUGGGUGUAAAGGGAGCGCAGGCGGGAAGACAAGUUGGAAGUGAAAUCUAUGGGCUCAACCCAUAAACUGCUUUCAAAACUGUUUUUCUUGAGUAGUGCAGAGGUAGGCGGAAUUCCCGGUGUAGCGGUGGAAUGCGUAGAUAUCGGGAGGAACACCAGUGGCGAAGGCGGCCUACUGGGCACCAACUGACGCUGAGGCUCGAAAGUGUGGGUAGCAAACAGG